RNAcentral lists this ribosomal RNA (349 nucleotides) under uncultured bacterium. RNAcentral describes it as "bacterial SSU rRNA". It matches the Rfam family "Bacterial small subunit ribosomal RNA", at positions 917 to 1267 of the family's 1533-position model. The record is from RNAcentral.
GGGCCCGCACAAGCGGUGGAGUAUGUGGUUUAAUUCGAUGCAACGCGAAGAACCUUACCAGGGUUUGACAUCCUGCGAAUCUCUUGGAAACUUGAGAGUGCCUUCGGGAGCGCAGUGACAGGUGGUGCAUGGCUGUCGUCAGCUCGUGUCGUGAGAUGUUGGGUUAAGUCCCGCAACGAGCGCAACCCACGUCUUUAGUUGCCAGCAUUUAGUUGGGCACUCUAGCGAAACUGCCGGUGCAAACCGAGAGGAAGGUGGGGACGACGUCAAGUCAUCAUGGCCCUUACGAGUAGGGCUACACACGUGCUACAAUGGCGCAUACAGAGGGCAGCCAACUUGCGAGAGUGAG